UUCAUUUUCAGAGCCUUCUUGCUCUUUCUCCUCGAUUUCUUGGUUAGCCACCACCUCACCAGGGUUUUAGGUCUCCCCUCCUCUCGUGUUUCUUUGCUCUCUUAUAAACGUUAAUAAAACCUCACCACCACCACCACCACCGCCGCCAUGUAUUGCACUGGUGAACCAGUUGCUGCUAAAUUAAACCUGGGUCACCAGGCCCUCAUCCCCUCAGUCCCUCACCGCCGUCCGCUCUUCUCAAGACCCAUCUCUUCUCUCUCCUUCAUAGCCCCACCUCCAUCUCAAACCGCAUCUUUCAAAUUCACCCCCAUCACAGCUUCCUCCUCGUCCUCAUCUGAAUUCCCUUCUUCAAACUCCUCUGACAAUGAAAACCCUAAGCCCCGUCUCUUUAACAAACCCCUAAACCCCCUGCAAAACCUUAACCCUUAUUUUUCCCAAACCCUCGCCACAUUCCCGUCCACUUUCAUCAAAACCACCCUCAUUGCAGCCACAGCGGCUGCUGCGAUCUUCUUUUCGAGGUUCCAUUUCUUUAAUGUCAAACCAGCCUUCGCCUCCUCUGCUGGGGCAGCUGCCGCUGCUGUUGAAGCUGCCUCAAAGGACACCCUUGAUGAGGCAGAAAGGGAAAAAGCCAUUGAAGAGCACUUGCUUUCCCACUCGAAUGACGUCGAAGCCCUCCGAAAUUUAAUGGAAAUUCGAAUUAAAAACCGGAAAAUGCUAGAGGCCAUUAUGAUUGUGGAGAAAUUGAUAGAACUGGAGCCGAAUGAAGUGGAGUGGCCGUUGAUGAAGUCUCAUUUGCACGUUUACAGUGGUGAGCUUGAAUUUGCAAAAAAUGGGUUCAGCGGGAUCAUAUCAAAAGACCCUUUUCGAGUGGAGGCGUACCACGGCCUUGUAAUGGCUGCAUCCCAGGAUGAUUCGACGGAGGAAUUGAAGGAUAUUGAGAGGAAGAUUGAGGAUGCAAUGAAGCUGUGUAAGAAAGAAAAUAAGAAGAGUGAUUUGAGAGAUUUUAACCUUUUACUGGCCCAAAUUCGGGUGAUCGAAGGGAAGUAUGACGAUGCACUGAAAUUUUAUCAGGAAUUAGUUAGGGAGGAGCCAAGGGAUUUUAGGCCGUAUUUAUGUCAAGGGAUAAUAUACACUCUGUUGAGGAAGAAGGAUGAGGCCGAGAAGAGUUUUGAGAAGUAUCGUAGGUUGGUACCAAAGGGGCAUCCUUAUGCGAGGUAUUUCGAGGACAAUAUGAUUGCAACAAAGGUUUUUGCGCAAAAGGUGGAGAAUGACAAGGUUCGCUCAAGGAGUUGAGGAUGUUUGUCAGGUGUCAAGAACGGCUUUCGAUUUUCUGGUGGGGAGUUGCGAUACACUAAGGCUGUUAUGUGGAGUUGUACUUACUGUGGUUAAAUGGAGGUGACAUAGGGUGGGGAGAUUUUGUGGUAGUGGCAAUGAAAGUAGUGGCCGUGGGCUCUCUAAUUAUUUGGAAUGGUAUUCUCGACGACUGCUUUAGUCAAUGAAGAAAGAAUACAGAAAGCAUCCUGUUUUAUGUUUUUGGAGCGCUCUUCAUGGUGCUGUAUUUAUGCAAUAAGAUACCCAUAAGUCUGCAUCUCGUGUAAACCUGAACUCUGUGGUUGGUUAGAAAUAUGCUUCAGCAAAAUCCUAAUCAACGUAGGAAUGUAGUCUUGACAAGCAUUCCUGUCAAAAGAUUGAAAUGUUUAAUUCUUCAAGUCCUGAAGUUUAUUGUCUGUCACUUACAUCGAGCCUAUCUUUAAUGUUAGUGGCCUAGCAGUAUGAAGUAUGCUUUGUGAAACUCUGCCGGUUAUAGUAUCACUUCUGCUGCCAACGAUCUUUGCGCCGUGGCAAAAUGCAUGCCGUCCUAUGGAGUUUUGGGGCCAGAUUUCUGAGUGAAGUCAUGACAUUUCGUGUUAGGAUUCUUAUGGUUUUUUGUUUUGGUAGGCUAGAAGGGAAGUAUUAGCUAAUUGUUGGUACUUUAGAUUUGAACCUGAUGGUUAUCAGUGGUUUUGCUUUGCUUUAAUGUUCACUUAGAAGUAAAAAGCAGUAUUGACUGGACAACUUAAUCCAGUUUUCAAUUUUGUCUUGCUUUUCUCACUGAUACAAUCAAACCGAAUGAGGUUUAAGUAUUGAUGAUCGGUCUAAUACCCCUACAUAUGCUGUUUCUUGCUGCACCAACCAAAGAUUUCUCAGCCCUGUUCUAGGAUGUAAUGUACUUCAAGCUUGUAAUCCCAAGGAUUAUGUAUUCUGAUG
Coffea arabica (coffee) is the source of this 2247-nucleotide RNA transcript. It is a transcript of the gene named protein SLOW GREEN 1, chloroplastic-like, with no coding region annotated. Lineage: Eukaryota; Viridiplantae; Streptophyta; Magnoliopsida; Gentianales; Rubiaceae. The record is from RefSeq and is a predicted model, not a curated record.